Molecule: ribosomal RNA, 588 nt
Filed under: uncultured bacterium
Lineage: Bacteria
Description: partial 16S ribosomal RNA
Rfam family: Bacterial small subunit ribosomal RNA
Source: RNAcentral
UGGGGAAUUUUGGACAAUGGGCGAAAGCCUGAUCCAGCAAUGCCGCGUGUGUGAAGAAGGCCUUCGGGUUGUAAAGCACUUUUGUCCGGAAAGAAAUCCUUGGCUCUAAUACAGUCGGGGGAUGACGGUACCGGAAGAAUAAGCACCGGCUAACUACGUGCCAGCAGCCGCGGUAAUACGUAGGGUGCAAGCGUUAAUCGGAAUUACUGGGCGUAAAGCGUGCGCAGGCGGUUUGCUAAGACCGAUGUGAAAUCCCCGGGCUCAACCUGGGAACUGCAUUGGCGACUGGCAGGCUAGAGUAUGGCAGAGGGGGGUAGAAUUCCACGUGUAGCAGUGAAAUGCGUAGAGAUGUGGAGGAAUACCGAUGGCGAAGGCAGCCCCCUGGGCCAAAUACUGACGCUCAUGCACGAAAGCGUGGGGAGCAAAACAGGAUUAGAUACCCUGGUAGUCCACGCCCUAAAACGAUGUCAACUAGUUGUUGGGGAUUCAUUUCCUUAGUAACGUAGCUAACGCGUGAAGUUGACCGCCUGGGGAGUACGGUCGCAAGAUUAAAACUCAAAUGAAUUGACGGGGUCAUAGCUGUUUCCU